GAUCUUUAUUUUUAUUUUUUAUAAAUUAAAAAAAAUAUAAAAAUUUAUAUUAAGAUUAAAAAUUUUAUUGGGGUGAUAUUAAAAUUUAAUAAACUUUUAUUAUUAAAAACAUAAAUGUAUGAAUAUUUGAUCCAAUUAUAUUGAUUAAAAAAUUAAGUUACCUUAGGGAUAACAGCGUAAUUUUUUUUUAGAGUUCAUAUCGACAGAAAAGAUUGC
Molecule: ribosomal RNA, 216 nt
Filed under: Sabethes hadrognathus
Lineage: Eukaryota; Metazoa; Arthropoda; Insecta; Diptera; Culicidae
Description: partial 16S ribosomal RNA
Source: RNAcentral